This 223-nucleotide long non-coding RNA is filed under the name Elaeis guineensis (African oil palm). Its description in RNAcentral is "long non-coding RNA (EGUI_LNC049199)". The record is from RNAcentral. Lineage: Eukaryota; Viridiplantae; Streptophyta; Magnoliopsida; Arecales; Arecaceae.
CCUGCAAAGCUUGACAUGCGGCGAAAUAGAGGGUUUGUAGAUUCAGAUCUAUGCAAGGCUUUGGAUUUAGAAUUUUUAAGAUUUAAUCUAUAUUCCAUUGUAUAUCAGGUAAAGAUCUAAUCUUUAUUAAGUUAUUAUAAAAAAUUUUUAGAUGUACCCUAGCUAUCUACUGCAUUUUUGAUAAAAAUAGGUUUUCUUUCCCUUCAGUGAGUACAUACCAGUC